Esox lucius (northern pike) is the source of this 1925-nucleotide long non-coding RNA. RefSeq lists it as uncharacterized. The transcript is spliced from 5 exons. The record is from RefSeq and is a predicted model, not a curated record. NCBI's taxonomy places the organism in Eukaryota, Metazoa, Chordata, Actinopteri, Esociformes, Esocidae.
UGUCAGAGGAUCAUCAGUUGAGUUUGUCUUAGUUUGACUUUGUUCUGUUCUGAGCUGAUAUUUUUCUUUAACGUUGGAGUCUGAAGAUAAACAGUAUGUGUAGAAGUGUGUUUAGGUUUGCACCACUUCUGUUUCUGUUGGGGACGUACGCCGCCAGUGAAGAGACCCUAUUGAAAACAUUGGAGAUUGGAGGAACAGAUGUCACUCACAUCUGCCAAAAUCAUACAAUGUCUGAUAUGUUGUUGAUAACAUGCAAAAUAAAUGGGGAGCACAAGUGUGGAAUCUCAUUACGGUUUGACAAAAAUGAUACAAAUACAACUUGUGACUCCAGGGUCAAUCUACAGAAUGAUGGUGGCAGAGUGUUUCUACACAUAACUAACAUACAACCAUCAGAUGAAGGGAUCUACCAAUGUGAGUGUGUAUAUCAUGGAGGAACAACAAACUUGACUCUUCAUUUUAAUAUUUCUUUCAAUGAAACAGCCAAUCACGGUCUCUUCCUUUCUCAGACGAUAACAGGCAUCACAGCAUUUAUAGCUGUAAUAAUCUUCACUGCCAUAAUCAUGAGGAAAGUUAAUCUCAGGAGAACACAGUCAAAGGUGCUUUACACCUCCAACCAGGAGGAGCAGCAACCAGACAUCGAGCCCUACGACACAUUUAUAAAGAGAGACACCACGGUUUACUCAACCCUUCAGCAGCCAGAUCCUAACCCCUGACCCUGACUUACAGGCACUGUUGACCAAUAACAACAUGCUGAAGCAUGUAUUGGGUUGAAUGUUAUUUCACCAGCCCUGGAAAUGCCUGCAGGCAUACAUUUUAGAUGUAGCUGUUUCAUUUAAAUGUAUACAAUAUCAUUCUUUUGACAUGGUUCAUCAAACAAGCAGAGUAACUUUCACUACCAUGUUUGCAGUGUUUUGAGAAGUGAGAGGAUCUGUGCAGAUGGCUAUGUUACAUUUGAAACCAUACAGUACCUUGUGGUUUCCAUCUCAUCAACUGAAUAGUUCAUUGGGUUCAGGGGUGUACAGUAUAUAGCCUAAAUGUAAUGCUAAAAGAAGAUGUAUACUUGAUCACUACAACAAACAUCAGCAGUCAGAAGUGCAACAUACAGAACCUGUUCAAAAUCCUCUGAAACCCUCCUAAACUGCCAUUCAAACUUUCCAAGAAUGUUGACCUGCUACAGAUAUACCAAUUGGGCAUUUAUAAAGGUAACAAUUGAAUGAUUAUAAUAAUCAUAUAUAUUUAAGUUGACUUUAUUCUGCUGCUACUCUGAGCUGAACAUAUUAGCUAAAAGUUUAGUUCAGUAGAUGAACAUUAAGUGUAUAAUCUUGUUAAAACUGGGUCUGCUUCUGUUUCUCUGGGGUGUCUGCAUAGACAUCCGAUGUACAUUCACAGCAUGAUGAAGCCUCACAGAAAGAAAAAAAUACUGUCCUGAAUGUGAUUAUAAGAAGAUAUAUUUAAAUAUAUUAGUGCCCCACCAAUAAAUCAGCUGGCCAAAAUUGGCCCUCAACAGAAAUAUCAGUAUCAGCCUUUAAGAGCAUCUUAUCGGUGGGUUUAAUAUGAAAUGUUUAAAAAAAGAAACACUUUUUUCCUACUUUAGUUCUGAAGAGGGCGCACUUUCCAAACUGGAUAACACUGAGGCAGCACAUACCCAUACUAGGGCUGUCAAAUUCAUAUUCGAAAUGCAUUUGAAUAUCAAAUAUAAAAUGUUAAUCAUUGUUCCACUACUUGGUUUUAAUAAAGUAAGGCCAGCAUCCCGGAGCCACCUCUUCAUCGUGUAUGUUGAAAUUGGUGUACCUGCAGACCAGGUCCACCCCUUCAUGGCAGUGGUAUUCCCUGAUGGUACUGCCCUCUUUCAGGAGGGUAAUGCGCCCUGCCACACUGUACAUAUUGGUCAUAAUGUUUUGGCUCUUGAGUGUAAAUAUAUUUGG